CACUCCUGCGGGAGGCAGCAGUGGGGAAUUUUGGACGAUGGGCGAAAGCCUGAUCCAGCAAUGCCGCGUGAGUGAAGAAGGCCUUCGGGUUGUAAAGCUCUUUUGUCAGGGAAGAAACGGUGAAAGCUAAUAUCUUUUGCUAAUGACGGUACCUGAAGAAUAAGCACCGGCUAACUACGUGCCAGCAGCCGCGGUAAUACGUAGGGUGCAAGCGUUAAUCGGAAUUACUGGGCGUAAAGCGUGCGCAGGCGGUUUUGUAAGUCUGAUGUGAAAUCCCCGGGCUCAACCUGGGAAUUGCAUUGGAGACUGCAAGGCUAGAAUCUGGCAGAGGGGGGUAGAAUUCCACGUGUAGCAGUGAAAUGCGUAGAUAUGUGGAGGAACACCGAUGGCGAAGGCAGCCCCCUGGGUCAAGAUUGACGCUCAUGCACGAAAGCGUGGGGAGCAAACAGGAUUAGAUACCCCAGUAGUCCCAUGA
Molecule: ribosomal RNA, 475 nt
Filed under: uncultured organism
Description: partial 16S ribosomal RNA
Rfam family: Bacterial small subunit ribosomal RNA
Source: RNAcentral